RNAcentral lists this ribosomal RNA (433 nucleotides) under uncultured bacterium. RNAcentral's name for it is "partial 16S ribosomal RNA". It matches the Rfam family "Bacterial small subunit ribosomal RNA", at positions 29 to 507 of the family's 1533-position model. The record is from RNAcentral.
AACGAACGCUGGCGGCAUGCCUAACACAUGCAACUCGAACGAGACCUUCGGGUCUAGUGGCGCACGGGUGCGUAACGCGUGGGAACCUGCCCUUAGGUUCGGAAUAACUCCCCGAAAGGGGUGCUAAUACCGGAUAAUGUCUUCGGACCAAAGAUUUAUCGCCUUUGGAUGGGCCCGCGUUGGAUUAGCUAGUUGGUAGGGUAAAAGCCUACCAAGGCGACGAUCCAUAGCUGGUCUGAGAGGAUGAUCAGCCACACUGGGACUGAGACACGGCCCAGACUCCUACGGGAGGCAGCAGUGGGGAAUAUUGGACAAUGGGCGAAAGCCUGAUCCAGCAAUGCCGCGUGAGUGAUGAAGGCCUUAGGGUUGUAAAGCUCUUUUACCCGGGAUGAUAAUGACAGUACCGGGAGAAUAAGCGCCGGCUAACUCCGUG